Molecule: long non-coding RNA, 2083 nt
Organism: Salvia miltiorrhiza (redroot sage)
Lineage: Eukaryota; Viridiplantae; Streptophyta; Magnoliopsida; Lamiales; Lamiaceae
Exons: 4
Source: RefSeq, a predicted model, not a curated record
CCAAUCUAAUUCACUCAAACUGUAAACUCUCUCUCUCUCUCGUCUUCCUCCCAAAUCCCAGCGGCGCCCAACGCACCAAAACCCUAACUUACUCUCUCGUCCUCCCCCAAAUGCCAGUCCGCUGCGCCUUCCGCCAUUUCGCUGCGCCCCCAGCUCCAGCCCUAGCUUUAGUUCGACUCUGUUCCUGUCGUCUUAAGACUCAUCCUUCUCUCCAGAUUCAGCACGACGCUCUGACUUCGGCUCGUCUAAGGGCGACGAAUUGUUGUUGUCACUCUUCAUUUUAGCUUCAACCGGAGCUUCUGUUGUUCCGAGAAAAAUCAAUAAUGGCUACCACUUGAUUUUCAUCCAGGAGUCCUCCAAUGGCGGCCUCGUCGACCUCCUGCAGCUCAAGCAGAAGAACAACAUCUACGGCGCGGAUAUUCCCAUCCCGCAACUCUCCGUCAAGCACGAAACUGGUAGCCGUUUGAGAGUCCACAUCACCGACGCAGAGAAGCAUAGAUGGGAGGUUCUGUGGCGGUGCCGCUCUUCAAUCUCUAUCCCGAUUUGGUUGUCUCAAGACUCUGCGUAGGUCAAUCUUCUCUCUCUCUCCCUCUCUCUCUAUACAACCUUCUUUCUCUCUCUACAACAUGGUUUCUCGUUAUUCUCAGGGACCAUGACGUUGGGCGAGCAGUUGUAGAGAGUUGAGAUUUUUUUUAAUUGAAAUUUGUGUUUUAUUGAUUAGGAUCUAGAUACAAGUUGGCAACUUCUGUUAGUUUAUGUUUCUGGCAGUGAUUGGCGUGAUUCUUAUUGAUGAUAAUCUCUGAACUGCUAUAUGCGAAGUUUUGCUCUGAAUCUUUGGAUUGCUAUUUUACAGAUGGAAUAAAGAUUUCUCACAGAUGAAAAAUGAGAUGUAUUACCAAAUGUGACAGAUUUUUCCAUUGCCUUAAUGCCUUUUGCAAAAUUUACUAUCAUAUUCUAAACUACUAUGAAGAAAACAGGAUAAACAUCAAAAUCAAAUCAGUAGGAAGCCAAGAAUCCACUGUAUUCUAUUUUGAGCCUUCAUUGUCAUAGAUGCUUCUGAUAGCUUUCUGGGUUGAAACUUUGGGUGUAGCUGAAAUUGGUAUAUUAGCUUGAAAUUAUUUUUUGUGGAUGAUAAAAUUAUGCUCUGUUUUCUGGUUGCAGAUUGAGAUUGAAGUUUCAUGUGAGAGAUACAGGUGGAUAGACAUGCGUAACUUUUUUUUAUUGAGAAUUAGUCUUUAAUAAUUCGUAGCUAAAACAUGAGGUCUUUUGUUAAAGACUUUGAGGUUUAACUUGCUAAAUUCCUUUUGCCCUGAAUUCCUUUUAGUUUAUUCUAAUAUGAGUGCUAGUUUGCACAUUAUCCACAUUUAUGCUUCUGCUAAUUUAUUUAAUUAUAUGCAUGCUUAGAUUGAUCCAGAAUUCACAUUUAUAUAUGGUGUUUCUCUCAUGCCUUUUUUACCUUUUCUUUUACUAUUUGUGAUCCGAGAUUCCGAAGAUGAUUCCAUGUAAGUGUCAGUUGUUAAGUGAAGUAUUUUUCCGUUAUCCCUGUUUUAAUUAAGGGUUUUUAGUUUUUAUCUAUAUAAUAUGCAGAAGACAGACUGCUACAUGUAAAAGCGGAGGUUAUGCCAAUGAUUCAAAGAGUGGUGUCAAGAAUUUGGAGAAGGGAAAAAAGUAAUCCUAUGUUUGUAUUCUUAAAGCUUGGUGCAUGUUGCAGUGAGUUCCAGAGUUGAAAGAAAAGUUUUGGUUGAUAUUGGCAAUGGGAACUGCAUAUUUUCAAAAACUGAACAGGGAAAAAGCUCUAUAUCUGGGAAAGGAAAAAGUGAUAAGGUGUUAUAUUACAUCAAGAGGAACCCCUAUCUUGUUUUUCAGUUUAACAAAGAGGAAGAUGAUAAAAUGACAACUGCAAAUGUUGCUGCUGUUCGAGCUGCUACUAGAGUGGGUGAUAUUACAUCAAGAUAGCAAUUUUGUUUUUGUUUUUUUUUUGACAUACGACUGAUAGAACAUGUGUUUCUGUUAAUUCUAUAUGGAUGGUGAUUGUAUGAAUAUUUUGAAUGGUAUAUGACAUGAUUUAUAGAUGAUUUUAUUA